GCACGGGUGCGUAACGCGUAUACAAUCUACCUUUUGCUACGGGAUAGCCCAGAGAAAUUUGGAUUAAUACCGCAUAGUAUAUUGAGAUCGCAUGGUUUUAAUAUUAAAGGUUACGGCAGAAGAUGAGUAUGCGUUCUAUUAGCUAGAUGGUGUGGUAACGGCACACCAUGGCAACGAUAGAUAGGGGCCCUGAGAGGGGGAUCCCCCACACUGGUACUGAGACACGGACCAGACUCC
RNAcentral lists this ribosomal RNA (237 nucleotides) under uncultured bacterium. RNAcentral's name for it is "partial 16S ribosomal RNA". It matches the Rfam family "Bacterial small subunit ribosomal RNA", at positions 100 to 339 of the family's 1533-position model. The record is from RNAcentral.